GGAUAAAGGUGAACUAGCGUUAGGUAGGUUCUGGGGAUUUUCUUUUUUUAAUCUUUUUUUUUUUUUAGAUUUUAGCCAAAAAAUUGUAGUGAGGACACUUAUAGUUUUUCAAUUUCAAACUUCAAUUUUGUGCAUUCUGUGGAUACGUCUAUCCUUUAUUAGAUAGGACAAGCAAUUUUUUUACUUGAAUAGGCAGAAUAAAAUUCUAGCUGGAAACUAUGUGACUCCUCUGUCCAACCAAAAAAAGUCUAGGGUUGUCAGGUUUUUCUAGGGAUGGUAGGGAAACAGGAAACACAACAUUUUUUCCCUAGGCCUGAGAGAUGUUUUAUAAUUAUAAAUGCAUGCAGGAAGAUGAGGAGAGAGAAAGAGCUUCGCUUCCCUCUUCACGUUGUCUCGUGUAUCCCACGUAUAUACUUUAUUGCAACUAUGUUAACAACACAGGUAUUUUAUGUAGGAACAGUCUGCAUGCAGGUAAAAGCCUCCAGCUAAGAUCAACAUUAGCCAGGGAAAGCUGCUAUAUCAGUUAACGUUGUGUAAUAGCUCUUGUAAUUGGUCUUUUUAAUCUGCCCUGCAGAAAGUACUCUCUGGGAAGCAAGGAAGACCGGAUAAAAAGGACCUCUAGCAACAGCCCUGUAGCAGGAGUCUCCACUUCUCACAGCAAGAAAUCUUCACUAAAAAAGAGUAGCCACAGCCUGACUAACCUGGCAGCCAGCUCUUCCGGCCAUGGGUCUCCUAAGGGUGGCUCAACACCCACCCACACAAGGUAGGGUAGGGAUUAUUUGCAAAGGCUGGUUUGGACAAGUCCACUAGCCUGAUUGUCCAGGGCAACUGACAGUGCUGAUCGGGCAAGUGCAUGACCUACCCCACUUGUCCGAUUGGGCAAGUAAGAUAAUUCCAUGACAGAGAUUUUGGUAUACUUGUUACCUUUCACAGUCAUAGUAUCAAGCAUUGGUCAACACAG
Branchiostoma floridae (Florida lancelet) is the source of this 961-nucleotide long non-coding RNA. RefSeq lists it as uncharacterized. The transcript is spliced from 2 exons. NCBI's taxonomy places the organism in Eukaryota, Metazoa, Chordata, Leptocardii, Amphioxiformes, Branchiostomatidae. The record is from RefSeq and is a predicted model, not a curated record.